This is a non-coding RNA of Aplosporella prunicola CBS 121167, 82 nucleotides long. The record is from the annotation of a RefSeq genome assembly. Lineage: Eukaryota; Fungi; Ascomycota; Dothideomycetes; Botryosphaeriales; Aplosporellaceae.
GCCAGCUUGGCGCAGUGGUAACGCGUCGCACUUGUAUUUACAAGCUAUGCGAAGAUCGGUCGUUCGAUUCGGCCAGUUGGCA